UUCCUGCAGCACAUAUACUAAAAUUAGAAUGAUAACAGAGAUUAGCAUGCCUCUGCACAAGAAUGACAUGAAAAUUCUUAAAGCACUCCAUAGUUUU
Molecule: small nuclear RNA, 97 nt
Filed under: Castor canadensis (American beaver)
Lineage: Eukaryota; Metazoa; Chordata; Mammalia; Rodentia; Castoridae
Source: RNAcentral